CGAGAACCCGACAGAGCCACCACGUUUAUUGUAGUAACGUCAACUGGAUUUCGGCGAGCGAUAUUUCUGCAAAUGUUGUUUCAAUAGGAUGUCUAUUGGAAAGUUCAAGGUCACUGCAGUUCGCGAUUUAUUUCGUGAAGUGAAAAUGCACGAACGAUUAAUUUGUGAAAUGUAGAAAAGA
This is a non-coding RNA of Penaeus vannamei (Pacific white shrimp), 181 nucleotides long. The record is from RefSeq and is a predicted model, not a curated record. Lineage: Eukaryota; Metazoa; Arthropoda; Malacostraca; Decapoda; Penaeidae.